CCUACGGGAGGCUGCAGUGAGGAAUAUUGGUCAAUGGGCGUACGCCUGAACCAGCCAAGUAGCGUGCGGGAUGAAUGCCCUACGGGUCGUAAACCGCUUUUGCACGGGGGUAACACCCUCCACGUGUAGCGUUCUGCAGAUACCGUGCGAAAAAGGGCCGGCUAAUUCCGUGCCAGCAGCCGCGGUAAUACGGAAGGACCGAGCGUUAUCCGGAUUCAUUGGGCUUAAAGGGGGCGUAGGCGGGCGUGCAAGUCAGCGGUAAAAUCGCGCGGCUCAACCGCGCCCCGCAGUUGAAACUGGGCGUCUUGAGUACAGGUGAGGUAGGCGGAAUGCGUGGUGUAGCGGUGAAAUGCUUAGAUAUCACGAAGAACUCCGAUUGCGAAGGCAGCAUACCAAACUGCCACUGACACUGAUGCUCGAAAGUGUGGGUAUCAAACAGGAUUAGAUACCCGAGUAGUC
This 459-nucleotide ribosomal RNA is filed under the name uncultured bacterium. RNAcentral's name for it is "partial 16S ribosomal RNA". It matches the Rfam family "Bacterial small subunit ribosomal RNA", at positions 338 to 795 of the family's 1533-position model. The record is from RNAcentral.